AGCAGCCGCGGUAAUUCCAGCUCCAAUAGCGUAUAUUAAAGUUGUUGCAGUUAAAAAGCUCGUAGUUGAAUUUCGGGGUUCUACCGUUGGUCGGGCUUUGUCUGUACUGGCGUGUAGAAUUUCUACCUUCUGGGGAACUAUCAUGUUAUUAAUUUAGCGUGGUAGGAAACCAGGACCUUUACCUUGAAAAAAUUAGAGUGUUCAAAGCAGGCUUAUGUCUGAAUACAUUAGCAUGGAAUAAUAAAAUAGGACGGUGGUCCUGUUUUGUUGGUUUCUGAAUCACCGUAAUGAUUAAUAGGGAUAGUUGGGGGCAUUAGUAUUCAAUUGUCAGAGUGAAAUUCUUGGAUUUAUUGAAGACUAACUACUGCGAAAGCAUUUGCCAAGGAUGUUUCAUUAAUCAAGAACGAAGUUAGGGAUCGAAGACGAUCAGAUACCGUCGUAGUCUUAACCAUAAACUAUGCCGACUAGGGAUCGGACGAUGUUAACUUUUCUUGACUCGUUCGCGCCUUACGGGAACCAA
RNAcentral lists this ribosomal RNA (520 nucleotides) under uncultured Scutellospora. RNAcentral's name for it is "SSU rRNA". It matches the Rfam family "Eukaryotic small subunit ribosomal RNA", at positions 569 to 1101 of the family's 1831-position model. The record is from RNAcentral. Lineage: Eukaryota; Fungi; Glomeromycota; Glomeromycetes; Diversisporales; Gigasporaceae.